Molecule: transfer RNA, 68 nt
Filed under: Marmota monax (woodchuck)
Lineage: Eukaryota; Metazoa; Chordata; Mammalia; Rodentia; Sciuridae
Description: tRNA.Ala
Source: RNAcentral
GGUUUGUGGUUCAGCGGUAGAGUCCUUGCCUAGCUCGUGCGAGGCCCUGGGUUCGAUCCUCAGCACCA